GACAGAGGCCCCAAGCGUUAGGCGGAAUCACUGGGCUUAAAGCGUGUGUAGGCGGACGCCUAAGUGUCUUGUGAAAUCCCCCGGCUCACCCGGGGAACUGCUGGGCAUACUGGGCGUCUUGGGCCAACUAGGGGCAGCCGGAACAAGCGGUGGAGCGGUGAAAUGCGUAGAUAUCGCUUGGAACGCCGAAGGUGAAAACAGGCUGCUGGGGUUGCGCCGACGCUGAGACACGAAAGCCAGGGGAGCAAACGGG
This 253-nucleotide ribosomal RNA is filed under the name uncultured bacterium. Its description in RNAcentral is "partial 16S ribosomal RNA". It matches the Rfam family "Bacterial small subunit ribosomal RNA", at positions 524 to 776 of the family's 1533-position model. The record is from RNAcentral.